CGAGACUGCGGGCAGGGGCCCGCCGCGCCCAUCCCGAUGGCUGGAGGCGUCUGAGGGGCGGACGGAGGCGGCGGCGGCGGCGGCGGCGGGAGCGGGCGCGGGCGGCGAGUGGGGAGCGGGGUCGGGAGUGGAGCAGCCGCCGCGGCGGGAGUGGACCGAGCCUUGCCGGUACGCACCUGCCCGCAGCGCCCGCGGAGCGCGCAGCGCGGCCCGAGCGCGACGACCUCCCGAGCAGCGGCCGAGGCGGCGGUGUGGGCGCGUCAGGCCGCGACGAGGGCGCUGAGACAAGUUUACAUGUAUUGGAGACCAGACCAGAAGCCCUUCUGAAUUAAGGAAAUUGAAGUGCUUGCAUAAGCCGUACUUGCAUAUGAGAGCUAAUUGUAAGGGAUUAAAGACAUUAGCAACUGUAUCCUCAGCUUCGUUAUACUUCAGUCAUACUUAACGAUUAACAGCCAAGAUCUUGGUCAGAAACACAGCCUCCAUUUAUGACAUUCUCUUGGGAAAAUAAGUCUGUUGUUUAACAAGGUGAGUUAGUUUUUACUGUGAUUUCAGGAAUAUUGUCUAACAUGAGUAGGGUGAACAGGCAGGGCGGCUUGCACUGAGCCUGAUUUUAGCCUGUACCUGUAAGGAUUAAGGUGUUAUUUCUGAGCCUGCUGGGACCCCCGCGGCUCACCUGGGUGGGAGAGUGGGUUGUCCCUGAGCCAAAAAACUGCUGGACACCACCUUGUGUGCUCUUAGGAUUGCCAUGCGAGCAUCCUGACAGCUUUUGACCAGUAGCGGUUCAUGAUUACUGAGAUGAGGUGGCUUUGAGAUUCUUGGUUGCCAGGUUGCCACUGACCCCCAUUCCCUGCAGUAACUUCCUCUAGGUCUGCAUGUGAUAGCUAUCCUAAAUGUCAGGU
RNAcentral lists this long non-coding RNA (899 nucleotides) under Piliocolobus tephrosceles (Ugandan red Colobus). Its description in RNAcentral is "lncRNA (ENSPTEG00000018359.1)". The record is from RNAcentral. Lineage: Eukaryota; Metazoa; Chordata; Mammalia; Primates; Cercopithecidae.